Molecule: non-coding RNA, 458 nt
Organism: Biomphalaria pfeifferi
Lineage: Eukaryota; Metazoa; Mollusca; Gastropoda; Planorbidae
Source: the annotation of a GenBank genome assembly
UAUCGCGAGACAAUGUAUUUUUUUUUUAAAUUGUAUUUUGUGUGAUUAAUUUUUGUUAUAGGUUAAAGAGAUGAUGAAUAGAGGCACUAAGAAUAAAAAAAAAAAGUUGUUACUUGGGUUACGACUCCACGAACUAGAAAUAGGUCGCUAUCCAAAAUAGGCUGACUAACACGCUUCUUCAGCAUCAUAAUGUUGUGGUAUAUAGAAGGGAGCUAAUUGACAGAAAGAGUAGAAGUCAAUACUGGAAGAGUGUUUGACAAUAUAAACCAUUUUCAUUUCUGCAUUUAGGGGAUGGGUCUUCUUCUACCAUUCCGUACCAGUGAAGUGCAUGCCUCUGCCAAGCACACUCUAUAUCAAGCUUAGAUUUAACAAGCUUUGGCAAAAAUGAAUUUGAACUAUUGGUACUGUGUCAGUUCACAUAAAUAUUUAUUGAUCUCAUAUGCUCUGUUUUUUUGUUU